CGUAAUGUAGCUUAACCCAAAGCAUCUCGCUUACACCGAAAAAAUGUCCGUGAAAAUCAGACCAUUCCGA
This 70-nucleotide transfer RNA is filed under the name Ingerophrynus parvus (lesser toad). RNAcentral's name for it is "tRNA-Val". It matches the Rfam family "tRNA". Rfam says of the family: Transfer RNA (tRNA) molecules are approximately 80 nucleotides in length. Their secondary structure includes four short double-helical elements and three loops (D, anti-codon, and T loops). Further hydrogen bonds mediate the characteristic L-shaped molecular structure. tRNAs have two regions of fundamental functional importance: the anti-codon, which is responsible for specific mRNA codon recognition, and the 3' end, to which the tRNAs corresponding amino acid is attached (by aminoacyl-tRNA synthetases). tRNAs cope with the degeneracy of the genetic code in two manners: having more than one tRNA (with a specific anti-codon) for a particular amino acid; and 'wobble' base-pairing, i.e. permitting non-standard base-pairing at the 3rd anti-codon position. Lineage: Eukaryota; Metazoa; Chordata; Amphibia; Anura; Bufonidae. The record is from RNAcentral.